AUAUAGGUAGUAUACGUUUGAAGUAUUCUGUCUUUCCAAGUCAGGGGUCCCCGAUAGAGGGGUCUAUAUA
This 70-nucleotide transfer RNA is filed under the name Metorchis bilis. RNAcentral describes it as "tRNA-Gly". The record is from RNAcentral. Lineage: Eukaryota; Metazoa; Platyhelminthes; Trematoda; Opisthorchiida; Opisthorchiidae.